RNAcentral lists this ribosomal RNA (1544 nucleotides) under Staphylococcus pseudintermedius. RNAcentral describes it as "bacterial SSU rRNA". It matches the Rfam family "Bacterial small subunit ribosomal RNA". Lineage: Bacteria; Bacillati; Bacillota; Bacilli; Caryophanales; Staphylococcaceae. The record is from RNAcentral.
UUUAUGGAGAGUUUGAUCCUGGCUCAGGAUGAACGCUGGCGGCGUGCCUAAUACAUGCAAGUCGAGCGAACAGAUAAGGAGCUUGCUCCUUUGACGUUAGCGGCGGACGGGUGAGUAACACGUGGGUAACCUACCUAUAAGACUGGAAUAACUCCGGGAAACCGGGGCUAAUGCCGGAUAACAUGUUGAACCGCAUGGUUCUACAGUGAAAGACGGUCUUGCUGUCACUUAUAGAUGGACCCGCGCCGUAUUAGCUAGUUGGUGGGGUAACGGCCUACCAAGGCGACGAUACGUAGCCGACCUGAGAGGGUGAUCGGCCACACUGGAACUGAGACACGGUCCAGACUCUACGGGGGGCAGCCGAGGGAAUCUUCCGCAAUGGGCGAAAGCCUGACGGAGCAACGCCGCGUGAGUGAUGAAGGUCUUCGGAUCGUAAAGCUGUGUUGUUGGGAAGAACAAAUGUGUAAGUAACUGUGCACAUCUUGACGGUACCUAACCAGAAAGCCACGGCUAACUACGUGCCAGCAGCCGCGGUAAUACGUAGGUGGCAAGCGUUAUCCGGAAUUAUUGGGCGUAAAGCGCGCGUAGGCGGUUUUUUAAGUCUGAUGUGAAAGCCCACGGCUCAACCGUGGAGGGUCAUUGGAAACUGGAAAACUUGAGUGCAGAAGAGGAAAGUGGAAUUCCAUGUGUAGCGGUGAAAUGCGCAGAGAUAUGGAGGAACACCAGUGGCGAAGGCGGCUUUCUGGUCUGCAACUGACGCUGAUGUGCGAAAGCGUGGGGAUCAAACAGGAUUAGAUACCCUGGUAGUCCACGCCGUAAACGAUGAGUGCUAAGUGUUAGGGGGUUUCCGCCCCUUAGUGCUGCAGCUAACGCAUUAAGCACUCCGCCUGGGAGUACGGUCGCAAGACUGAAACUCAAAGGAAUUGACGGGGACCCGCACAAGCGGUGGAGCAUGUGGUUUAAUUCGAAGCAACGCGAAGAACCUUACCAAAUCUUGACAUCCUUUGACCGCUCUAGAGAUAGAGUUUUCCUCUUCGGAGGACAAAGUGACAGGUGGUGCAUGGUUGUCGUCAGCUCGUGUCGUGAGAUGUUGGGUUAAGUCCCGCAACGAGCGCAACCCUUGAACUUAGUUGCCAUCAUUCAGUUGGGCACUCUAAGUUGACUGCCGGUGACAAACCGGAGGAAGGUGGGGAUGACGUCAAAUCAUCAUGCCCUUAUGAUUUGGGCUACACACGUGCUACAAUGGACAAUACAAAGGGCAGCGAAACCGCGAGGUCAAGCAAAUCCCAUAAAGUUGUUCUCAGUUCGGAUUGUAGUCUGCAACUCGACUACAUGAAGCUGGAAUCGCUAGUAAUCGUAGAUCAGCAUGCUACGGUGAAUACGUUCCCGGGUCUUGUACACACCGCCCGUCACACCACGAGAGUUUGUAACACCCGAAGCCGGUGGAGUAACCAUUUUGGAGCUAGCCGUCGAAGGUGGGACAAAUGAUUGGGGUGAAGUCAAGGUAGCCGUAUCGGAAGGUGCGGCUGGAUCACCUCCUUUCU